UCAGAUUGAACGCUGGCGGUAGGCCUAACACAUGCAAGUCGAACGCGAAAGUCCUUCGGGAUGAGUAGAGUGGCGGACGGGUGAGUAACGCGUAGGAAUCUAUCCUGUAGUGGGGGAUAACGUUUCGAAAGGAACGCUAAUACCGCAUACGCCCCAAGGGGGAAAGCGGGGGAUCUUCGGACCUCGUGCUAUAGGAGGAGCCUGCGUCGGAUUAGCUAGUUGGUGAGGUAAAGGCUCACCAAGGCGACGAUCCGUAGCUGGUCUGAGAGGAUGAUCAGCCACACCGGAACUGAGACACGGUCCGGACUCCUACGGGAGGCAGCAGUGGGGAAUAUUGGACAAUGGGCGCAAGCCUGAUCCAGCAAUGCCGCGUGUGUGAAGAAGGCCUGCGGGUUGUAAAGCACUUUCAGUGGGGAGGAACAGAUUCGGGUCAAUACCCCGGAGCCCUGACGUUACCCACAGAAGAAGCACCGGCUAACUCCGUG
RNAcentral lists this ribosomal RNA (485 nucleotides) under uncultured bacterium. RNAcentral's name for it is "bacterial SSU rRNA". It matches the Rfam family "Bacterial small subunit ribosomal RNA", at positions 24 to 507 of the family's 1533-position model. The record is from RNAcentral.